GAUUGGCCAGCACAGCCUCACAGGGGCUUUAGUCCAAGGAGAGUGUUUAGGUCUAAGAAAGAGAAGAUUCAAGAAUUGGGUCAACAAAAAAGCAGAACUAGAAUUUGCAUGCAAAGCCAAGAAACCAGGGAAAUGGAAACCAGGAGCAGUGCAUUGAAUAAGAGAUAACAACGGACCAGAGAAGCAAGGAAAGAAUCCUCAGAACCGUUGCAGCCAUGCUGCUCCGACAAAGUGAGCCCAUCUUCAAAUGAGUGCACCUGGAGAAUGCAAUGCUGAGAAGUAGCCAAGACGACCCAAAUCCAUGGGCAGAAGACUGACCCACCCUGCUGAGAGUCCCACAGGAUGUAAAUCAAGAUGAUUCAGAAAAGAUCUACAGACAUGGGAUCACAGCUUCUGAGGCCUCCAAAAGAAGUGACCUUUCCCGAGGUGCCCAGACCAGAGCAUCACCUCCAUGAUCCUGUCUGAGAUUUGUCUGUGGCUGAGAAAUACAGGAUUGUCUAUAUGCGGCAGCAUAAUCAGAAGGGGACAAUGCCUCCUGUUCCAGAAUGAGUAAGGUGUGAACAGGAGAAAGGAAGAAAGGAGCAGAGGAGGACAGAGCUGCACUGGCUUCAGAUCAUGGCCAACCAGAAACCACACCAAAGACACGGGAAUGAACAGGCUACAACCAGAGAUUCUUUUUUCCCUGCCGGCCACCCCACAGAUGCAAUGGCACAAGGAUUCAGGAGAGGGACAGGAGACGGAGUGACUGGAUCCAGAAGAGAGAAGCAGCUUCCCAACUGCUCCAGAAGGAAAAUGGCCCCACUAAGAAAACUUGAAAGUCAAAACACAUGUGGAAGUCAUGAGAAGCUGCAGAGCCGCAAGGGCGCCCCACCUCAGAGAUGAGCCAUUCAGGAGUGGGCGUCAGCCACAGGCAGCAACUGGAUGUGACCUGUGAGCUGUCACUUGCC
RNAcentral lists this long non-coding RNA (947 nucleotides) under Mustela putorius furo (domestic ferret). RNAcentral describes it as "lncRNA (ENSMPUG00000027278.1)". Lineage: Eukaryota; Metazoa; Chordata; Mammalia; Carnivora; Mustelidae. The record is from RNAcentral.